This 128-nucleotide small RNA is filed under the name Klebsiella pneumoniae. RNAcentral describes it as "RtT sRNA". It matches the Rfam family "RtT RNA", at positions 37 to 130 of the family's 130-position model. From Rfam's summary of the family: This family represents a bacterial cis-regulatory element known as RtT RNA. The exact function of RtT is unknown although it is thought that it may be involved in changing the cellular response in relation to amino acid starvation. The record is from RNAcentral. Lineage: Bacteria; Pseudomonadati; Pseudomonadota; Gammaproteobacteria; Enterobacterales; Enterobacteriaceae.
GCAGGUUCGAAUCCUGCACGACCCACCAAUUUCAGCAUUUAACUCAGAUGCUGAACGUGAAGGAUAACGUUGCGACAGCAACGGCCCGAAGGGCGAGGCGAAGUCGAGUCAUCCUGCACGACCCACCA